RNAcentral lists this ribosomal RNA (467 nucleotides) under uncultured bacterium. RNAcentral's name for it is "bacterial SSU rRNA". It matches the Rfam family "Bacterial small subunit ribosomal RNA", at positions 28 to 507 of the family's 1533-position model. The record is from RNAcentral.
GAUGAACGCUAGCGACAGGCUUAACACAUGCAAGUCGAGGGGCAGCGAGAAAGUGCUUGCACUUUUGUCGGCGACCGGCGCACGGGUGAGUAACACGUAUGCAACCUGCCCUUGUCAGGGGGAUAAGCGGGGGAAACCCCGUCUAAUACCGCAUAUAUGAUUUGGAGGCAUCUCUAAAUCAGGAAAGAAUUAUCGGACAUGGAUGGACCUGCGGCGCAUUAGCUAGAUGGUGAGGUAACGGCCCACCAAGGCGACGAUCAGUAGCCGGCCUGAGAGGGUGAACGGCCACAUUGGGACUGAGACACGGCCCAAACUCCUACGGGAGGCAGCAGUGGGGAAUAUUGCACAAUGGGGGAAACCCUGAUGCAGCGACGCCGCGUGAGUGAAGAAGUAUUUCGGUAUGUAAAGCUCUAUCAGCAGGGAAGAUAAUGACGGUACCUGACUAAGAAGCCCCGGCUAACUACGUG